AGCCUUUGUUGUCUCUGUUUUUCAAGAAAAUAGUGAUUCUAUAGUGGUUAUUCCACCUAUUUAGUGAGUAUUAUGAAGUUUUACUAAAUUAAUUGAUAAAAUAUUUAUAAAGAUUCACAUAUACCAUGAAAGAGAGUUUAACAUACAUUAAUACAAAUGUAUAAUGUGGUUAGAAAUUUUAAAACAACACUAAAAAGUUUAGGCUUCAGUAUAUAGAGCGUUUAACGUAAAACUCAAUAUUUCGUAUGGUUUUAUACAUAGAUUUUGAAAAAAUUCAAAAAUAUAACUAUAUUGUUUAAUGCAUAGUUACAUCCUAAAUAACAUAUGAUGAUGGUCAAAGAGGCUUGGAACCUUUGUUGUCUAUGUUUCUCUAGAAAAUUGCGAUUUUAUAACGGGUAGUCUACUAAUUUUGAGAUUACAUGAAGUUUUACAAAAUUAAUUGAUAUAAAAUUAUAAAGAUGCCCAUGUACCAUGAAAUUGAGUUUAAAUAACCUUAAUACAAAUUUAGAAUGUGGUUACAAAUUUUAAAAUAACGUUAAAGAUUAUAGGCUUCAGUAUAUAAAGCAUUUACCAAAAACUCAAUAUUUUCGUAGGGGUUAACGCAUAGACUUUGAGAAAAUUUCAACAUUUUUGACAAUAUUGUUUUAAU
This 649-nucleotide long non-coding RNA is filed under the name Brassica napus (rape). RNAcentral describes it as "long non-coding RNA (BNAP_LNC026077)". The record is from RNAcentral. Lineage: Eukaryota; Viridiplantae; Streptophyta; Magnoliopsida; Brassicales; Brassicaceae.